GAUGAACGCUGGCGGCGUGCCUAAUACAUGCAAGUCGAGCGAACAGAUGAGGAGCUUGCUCCUCUGACGUUAGCGGCGGACGGGUGAGUAACACGUGGAUAACCUACCUAUAAGACCGGGAUAACUUCGGGAAACCGGAGCUAGUACCGGAUAAUAUAUUGAACCGCAUGGUUCAAUAGUGAAAGACGGUUUUGCUGUCACUUAUAGAUGGAUCCGCGCCGCAUUAGCUAGUUGGUAAGGUAACGGCUUACCAAGGCAACGAUGCGUAGCCGACCUGAGAGGGUGAUCGGCCACACUGGAACUGAGACACGGUCCAGACUCCUACGGGAGGCAGCAGUAGGGAAUCUUCCGCAAUGGGCGAAAGCCUGACGGAGCAACGCCGCGUGAGUGAUGAAGGUCUUCGGAUCGUAAAACUCUGUUAUUAGGGAAGAACAAAUGCGUAAGUAACUAUGCACGUCUUGACGGUACCUAAUCAGAAAGCCACGGCUAACUACGUG
RNAcentral lists this ribosomal RNA (497 nucleotides) under uncultured bacterium. Its description in RNAcentral is "partial 16S ribosomal RNA". It matches the Rfam family "Bacterial small subunit ribosomal RNA", at positions 28 to 507 of the family's 1533-position model. The record is from RNAcentral.